Molecule: RNA transcript, 1977 nt
Organism: Penaeus chinensis
Lineage: Eukaryota; Metazoa; Arthropoda; Malacostraca; Decapoda; Penaeidae
Exons: 5
Source: RefSeq, a predicted model, not a curated record
CCAACCAGUCGGAGAUUUGUUGUCGCGUAUCCGAAUCUUGUGGUAUUCAUAAAAUUAAUUAAAAUCAAGAUACUGACCAUUCAUGUUUAUGCAGAUACAUAAAGUAAAUAUAAUAACAUCUCAUGGCAUGAUAUAUAUACUUCGUGCAUUGUGUUUUAGUAACAGAUACAUCCAUAUAUCAUCGCGUUCCAAGUUUUCGACGUUUCGAGUCGUGAUGGCUCGUACCACAAGGCCUUGAGUUACUUUCUGCCGUGAAAACAGGAAUACAAGACAACACCUUAACUUUCCCCGAUUUCCAAGAGACUAUAAAAGAUCUGAUAGAGUGAGCAUGGAGGAAAUCUUUCGGCAACAAAAUAAGAUCUACAAGAGAUAUUUAAAAAAUGUUGAGGCCAAGAUGUACAUGACUCCCAUAUCGGCACACGUAAUACAUUCAGCAUCUCUAAAUAUACCAAGAAAUCUACAGCUAUUCAUCUGCAUAAAACGGUGAAUAACAUUUCCGCUCAGUAUGGAGUGAUGAGAUGCAGCUCCCACUUGAUUGCAACUGCUGGUGCUGCCAGUGCCACACUGCCAAUGACACCCCAUCACCAUCACCACCACACAUCCGAUGUUGGUUUCAACUCUUCCUAUGGCAAACUUUGCAAAACUUCUAUAUGAGUGCAUAGAUAUAACUCCUUGUAUGCUGAACCGAGUCGAAAGGAAACUCAACCAUCACAUCAAGAGAGGGUGUUUUCAGUUUUCUUCUUCUAUGGCAGAUGAUUGAAACUCAGGUGGUGCAACAGCGCUCCAGGAAUAACAUUGGCAAUUAGUUUCCACGUAUAGGCAAAGGGGAGAACGGCUAAAAGCAAAUUACAAGAAAAUAGAAGAUAGAAACUCGUCGGCAAGCACACUGAGAAAUAUGACCAGCAGAGGUCGUCACAUUUUUGAGGGAUUGAAAAAAGGAGAAAAGAUGCUUGGCAAGAGUGAUCAUGCGUUUAAAUAUCUAAAUUACUAAAUAUGUCAAAGAAGAGUAUGGACUUCUUGACAUUCUGAAGGACCUGCUGCCCCAGCGCUUCUACUUAUGUGAUAAGAAUCAAAAAUGGAAACAAAUGCUAGGUUACAUGCUGUCAAAAACUUAAACAAAUUGGAGAAAGAAUCCAUUGUUAUUGGGUGGUGGGGUGUGCAUAGAGAGUGGUAUGGGACCAAUGUGUGAAUAGGAAAUCGGUAAAGCAUUGAGAUAUAUUUGUACAAAAUCCUUAUUUUAAGCACAGCAAGUCAAAAGUAUUCGUAUGUACAUGUGUAUGGUGCUCCACAUCUCGAAGCCAUUUUGUGGACUCAAUUUCUCAAGAUGGAGAUGGAGUUGCAGUCAGAAUUGUCUCUAAUCUAGAGAAAGCUCCAUUUAUGUGAAUUUCGCAGCACAAACCCUCAAGUAGAUCAGAUGCUGCAUGUCUUAAUGUGAUGGUUGUAUUAAGUAAUUGCAGACUUCUCUCUAGUUAUAGCUGGAAUUGUGUUAGAAAUGAAUCGCACUCGUGACCUCUGUAAUAACACAACAUUGAGUGCGGAAUAUAUGUCUGUGGUUCAUCCGAUCAAGUCAGAACUUCGCAGCAGAUAGGAAGUAGUCAGUGAAUAUUGCCGUCAAUUCGUUACUGAGAAGUCUCCUGUAACGUCCUAUGGUAAAUUGAUCACAGUUAGCAGUUUCUAUGUAACACUAGAGGCUCUUCAGUGCAUUAAUUUUACAGAGAAAAAAUGGAUAGCGAUUUACAAAAUUAUCCCACAUCCGAACAGUAAUGACAGGAUUUAAAAAUAAAUUCAAAACAAAUAUGGCCAAUAUGACUUUUCCGGAUUUUCACAAUAUCUGCGAAAAUUUAAUUUAUUGAAAUGUUGAUAACAAUUACUGUAUUUAUGGAACAUGAUAGCGAAAUAACAGAAUAAAAGAUUUAAUAAAAUUGGACAGUUAUUCUGUUUGUUUUUCAAAUAAUCUCAUGUGUACUUUUGCUAAUA